This 620-nucleotide ribosomal RNA is filed under the name uncultured bacterium. RNAcentral describes it as "bacterial SSU rRNA". It matches the Rfam family "Bacterial small subunit ribosomal RNA", at positions 116 to 716 of the family's 1533-position model. The record is from RNAcentral.
CGUAGGUAAUCUACCUUCGGGUGGGGAAUAACCCAGGGAAACUUGGGUUAAUACCGCAUAAUGCAGCGGCACCACAUGGUGACAGUUGUUAAAGCGGGGGAUUUUCGGACCUCGCGCCUGAAGAGGAGCCUGCGGCGGAUUAGCUUGUUGGUAAGGUAACGGCUUACCAAGGCGACGAUCCGUAGCCGGCCUGAGAGGGCGGUCGGCCACACUGACACUGACAUACGGGUCAGACUCCUACGGGAGGCAGCAGUCGGGAAUUUUGGGCAAUGGGCGAAAGCCUGACCCAGCAACGCCGCGUGAAGGAUGAAAUCCCUCGGGAUGUAAACUUCGCAAGAAUGGGAAGAAUUAGCGAGCGCUAACACCGUUCGUGAUGACGGUACCAUUUGUAAGCUCCGGCUAACUCCGUGCCAGCAGCCGCGGUAAUACGGGGGGAGCAAGCGUUGUUCGGAUUUACUGGGCGUAAAGGGCGCGUAGGCGGCCAGCGCAAGUCAGUUGUGAAAUCUCCGGGCUUAACUCGGAACGGUCAACUGAUACUGCGCGGCUAGAGUGCGGAAGGGGCAACUGGAAUUCUCGGUGUAGCGGUGAAAUGCGUAGAUAUCGAGAGGAACACCUGCGGC